CUUCUCCACAUCGACGGUGGACUUCUUUAAUUCUCUCGGCAGACCUGCAAAUCCCGCUGCAGCUCCAGUCGAAUGAAGCCACGCAAAUGUUGCCUGCUUGUGCCUUCCAUUCACAAUCUGCAUUUGAACAACUUCUAUUAAAGGCAACUUGUAUCUAUUACUGGACGAGAAACAUGGCAGAAGAAAAUGUUCAGAAAAUUGUUAAUUUACCAGGGGGAGUUCCACAACAAAGUCUCCUAUCGUCGAUGUGCUCAACGUCAAGUCCAAUGAACCAAGAUCCCAAGGAAACAUCUUCAUUGGCAUACUUGUGCAGAACAUGCCUGAGAAUCCAGCAAUUAUUAAGAUCGUGUACAAUUUGGCAAUGCAAAUGAAAUUUGAAGUUUUGGAUUUAAAGAACAGAUAGAUUAAUCUUACUGGUUUAUUGAUAUGUAGGUUGCUAAAUCCUUCGAAAUGGCGUACAACUGGCCUGUUGCAUGGCGGAAGUACUUGUUACCGAACUCACCAAACUUCCAGUGUUCAGGUUCAUGGUAUCGAACUCCCCUGCAAUGAUAGUUUGGUUAAGAAAUCAAAGGUUUCCCAUUUUUCAAUAUUCACCAAGUGAUGAUGGUAAAGCAGCCUUACUUUUGUGACAGGACAGGACCAGAUUUCAUGCAUCCAAUGUAAACCCGUGGUUUUGAUCGAUGUCUAACUAGCGUUUCUCCUAAUGUGGCUGCAACCAAAUGGAAGGACACGAGUUUAAUGUAAGACUCGAGCUUAUCAAGUAUGUAUAGAUAUCUGUCUCAAGUAUAGAAAUCAGACACCAAUUCCGAACAAAAUGGAAGUAACUGGCAUAGAUUCGUGAUUCACUAUCUUAAUAACGAUUCAAUUAUUGAUUCUGCUUACCUAUAUUUACAUGAACAUCGUCGUCAACUUUGAUGUAGAAAUCUGCAUCCCACAAUGCAACUGCUGUAGCAAAAUAAAUCUUCGUCUUGGCAGACAAUUCAAGGUACCCUUCAACAUGGUCCUGUUAGAUAACAAGAAACGGUUGAAGAUCGUCUUGAAUACUUUUGAGAAGUUGAAGCAUCUUAAGAAUCCAUCACCAGCAAUAGAUCAGAAAAUUAUGUAUUCGGAAAACAAAUCACUACCAGUCUAAGGAAAUCUCCAUGCUUUCUGUCCUCUGCUUCAAUAGCUCUGUCAAGGAUACCUCCAGAUGUGGCACUGAUCAUCAAGAAAAAGCUCAUUUAAAAUCUUGUUGCUAGAAGGCCAAAUGAUUCUACGAGAUAUUAUCGCAAGGAAGUCCGCAGAUCAUGUUGUUAACAGUUAUUAUCAAAUGACAAAAGAACAUGUACCUAUGGCCGAUGACAAAUCGAAUUAUAAUCCCCUUCUCCUCCUCUA
Cucumis sativus (cucumber) is the source of this 1374-nucleotide long non-coding RNA. RefSeq lists it as uncharacterized. The transcript is spliced from 2 exons. The record is from RefSeq and is a predicted model, not a curated record. Lineage: Eukaryota; Viridiplantae; Streptophyta; Magnoliopsida; Cucurbitales; Cucurbitaceae.